Molecule: long non-coding RNA, 1272 nt
Filed under: Canis lupus familiaris (dog)
Lineage: Eukaryota; Metazoa; Chordata; Mammalia; Carnivora; Canidae
Description: lncRNA (ENSCAFG00030018832.1)
Source: RNAcentral
GCGCGGCCGGUCGGGGCCGCGGGGCGGGCGGGCUCCCACGUGCGCCGGCGGGGCUCCCCGGCGGCCCAACACGCCCAGAGCGAGCGGGUCGGGGGCGCCCGCGGACACGCCCGGGCCGGCUGCCGGCGAGCGGAGCGCGGGGCCACGCGGCGCGCUGGGGGGGGGGGGGGGGGCGGGGGCGGGGGCGAGGCCCGGGGCGCCGGGGUCCCGCGGCGGCCGCCCUCCCGGUCCUCUUCCCCCGCGGCCGCCGCCGCCGCCGCCGCCGCCGCGCAGGCCCCGCCCCCCCCGCCCGCCAACCGAGUCAGCGGUUCGCGCCGCCGCGCCGCGAUUGGCCGGCCCGACGCGCCGCGUCACAAUGGAGCCGGUCGGAGGCGGCGAGCCCGGCAGCGCCGGGGCUUCCCGCUGAGCCCGCCGCGGCCGGCAGCCGGGACCGAGCCCGCGGGGCGGCGUCCGGGGGCGCGGGGCACGCGGCGGGGAGCGCGGGCGCCCGGGGCCGGGGUCGCGCAGGCAGGUAGGUCGCGGCGGGGCGCCCCCCGCUGGCGGCGGCGGAGCCCGGGGCGCGGGGCGCGGGGCGCGGGGCGCAGCAGGUGGGGCCGCGCGCAGGUGCGAGGCUCACCUGCGGCUCGAGCCGGGCCUGCGGGCAGGUGGCGCGGCGGCGCGGCUGCCCGGGCGCCCCCGGAGAGCGGGAGCGAGCCCCCUCCCCGAGAAGGGGCGCCGCCGGGUGCCGGGGUCGUUCGGGCGACGGGGCGGGCGGCCGCGGCCAGGAGGGCCCCUGGGUGUCCGCGCCGCCGCGGGGUCCGGGCGCCGCCGCUGGUCCGGGCGCGGUGCGGGGCGCGGGGCGGGGCCGGACGGGGGCGAGCGCACCUCUCCCGGGGGCGCCCGCCCGGCCCCCCGCCCCCUCCCGCCCCGGCGCUGCUGCCGCCGCCGCUGCCCGGACCCCGGGUCCCCGCGUCUGACGGCGCUGGCGCUGCUCCCCUGCCGGGAAGGGCGCGGCGGGGGCGACCUCUGCCCACGCGGGGAAGCCAGCACUGUCCUCCCGGGCUCCCGGGCUCCAGGCGAGCAGGUCCCGAGAGGUCAGAGGUGCUGGCUCGUGACUCUGUCCCAACUGACUUCCCAAAGUCCAUAGGUUGCCUCCAGUCAGAUGACAUUUGUGGAAGACUUGCGCUUGGUGCAAGAAAGACUCUCCGCGACCCCCUUUCCCUUCCCAAGAAAAGGAAAUUUCGAAACAGAACCCUGCGCCUGAACUUUCUCCAAUACGUCUGCCUUGCCUGA